This 393-nucleotide ribosomal RNA is filed under the name uncultured bacterium. RNAcentral's name for it is "partial 16S ribosomal RNA". It matches the Rfam family "Bacterial small subunit ribosomal RNA", at positions 523 to 918 of the family's 1533-position model. The record is from RNAcentral.
AUACGGAGGAUCCGAGCGUUAUCCGGAUUUAUUGGGUUUAAAGGGUGCGCAGGCGGGAGAUUAAGUCGGCGGUGAAAUUUUUCAGCUCAACUGUAAAAGUGCCUUCGAAACUGGGUUUCUUGAGUAUGGAUGAAGUAGGCGGAAUUUGUGGUGUAGCGGUGAAAUGCAUAGAUAUCACGAGGAACUCCGAUUGCGCAGGCAGCUUACUAAGCCAUAACUGACGCUCAUGCACGAAGGCGUGGGGAUCAAACAGGAUUAGAUACCCUGGUAGUCCACGCAGUAAACGAUGAUUACUCGCUGUUUGCGAUACAAUGUAAGCGGCUAAGCGAAAGCAUUAAGUAAUCCACCUGGGGAGUACGUUCGCAAGAAUGAAACUCAAAGGAAUUGACGGGG